AUAUGGAGUCUGGAGAGCGGUUAACGUCAUCAUCAGUCUCUUCUACUGCAACUGCUUCGACUCCAGCGUCUUCUACUCCGUCUGUAGCUUCAGCAGUAUCGAAAGGUGGCCUUUCCACUGGAGCUGCAUCACUGAGUUCCACAAUCAACACAUGCGAAUGGUGGCGAACGGCAGACACACACUCUCGUCCCGGGGCAGCUUUUUUCCCACCACUCCUGGGAAUUCCACCAUUGUUUGCACCUCCUGCACAGAAUCAUGAUUCUGCCUCAUUCCACUCAAGACCUACAGGAAAAAAUAGUCGGAGCAGUACAGAGAAAGGUAUAAAUGGAUCACUGAAUGGGAACAGUACCACCGCAGUAUCUGGUAUCAGCACAUCUGUACUUUCCACUAGCAUUGCAACAUCUGCAGGACAACUGAAAGCUAUAACCUCAGGAGCAGGAGGGCGCAAAUACAACCAGGAGCAAAGCAAAGUUCAGCUUUUGGACACCAGAGCUGACAAAAUCAAAGAUAAGGUAAAUAUACAGAAAAAA
This is a non-coding RNA of Balearica regulorum gibbericeps (East African grey crowned-crane), 530 nucleotides long. NCBI's taxonomy places the organism in Eukaryota, Metazoa, Chordata, Aves, Gruiformes, Gruidae. The record is from RefSeq and is a predicted model, not a curated record.